GACGAACGCUGGCGGCGUGCUUAACACAUGCAAGUCGAACGGAAAGGCCCUGCUUUUGUGGGGUGCUCGAGUGGCGAACGGGUGAGUGACACGUGAGUAACCUGCCCUUGACUUUGGGAUAACUUCAGGAAACUGGGGCUAAUACCGGAUAGGAGCUCCUGCUGCAUGGUGGGGGUUGGAAAGUUUCGGCGGUUGGGGAUGGACUCGCGGCUUAUCAGCUUGUUGGUGGGGUAGUGGCUUACCAAGGCUUUGACGGGUAGCCGGCCUGAGAGGGUGACCGGCCACAUUGGGACUGAGAUACGGCCCAGACUCCUACGGGAGGCAGCAGUGGGGAAUAUUGCACAAUGGGCGGAAGCCUGAUGCAGCAACGCCGCGUGCGGGAUGACGGCCUUCGGGUUGUAAACCGCUUUCGCCUGUGACGAAGCGUGAGUGACGGUAAUGGGUAAAGAAGCACCGGCCAACUACGUG
Molecule: ribosomal RNA, 468 nt
Filed under: uncultured bacterium
Lineage: Bacteria
Description: partial 16S ribosomal RNA
Rfam family: Bacterial small subunit ribosomal RNA
Source: RNAcentral